Molecule: small nuclear RNA, 209 nt
Organism: Equus caballus (horse)
Lineage: Eukaryota; Metazoa; Chordata; Mammalia; Perissodactyla; Equidae
Gene: U2
Rfam family: U2 spliceosomal RNA
About the family: U2 is a small nuclear RNA (snRNA) component of the spliceosome (involved in pre-mRNA splicing). Complementary binding between U2 snRNA (in an area lying towards the 5' end but 3' to hairpin I) and the branchpoint sequence (BPS) of the intron results the bulging out of an unpaired adenosine, on the BPS, which initiates a nucleophilic attack at the intronic 5' splice site, thus starting the first of two transesterification reactions that mediate splicing.
Source: Ensembl
AUGGCUUCUCGGCCUUUUGGCUAAGAUCAAAUGUAGUAUGACCAUUCGUGAGUCAUUCCUUGUCUUUCAUGACUUUGACUUAUGAAGAACAGUGGUCAGUUAUUUUGUGGACUGUCCCUAAUAUUUUUUUCUGAUUUAAUAAUAUUAUCAACAAGCAUCAUUUACUGAGGGUUUACUAAGUACCAGGCACUAUGCUAAGCCCUCUAUUU